AUGAGCGCUGGCGGCGUGCCUAAUACCUGCAAGUCGCGCGCACGGACGAGAAGCUUGCUUCUCUGAUGUUAGCGGCGGACGGGUGAGUAACACGUGGAUAACCUACCUAUAAGACUGGGAUAACUUCGGGAAACCGGAGCUAAUACCGGAUAAUAUUUUGAACCGCAUGGUUCAAAAGUGAAAGACGGUCUUGCUGUCACUUAUAGAUGGAUCCGCGCUGCAUUAGCUAGUUGGUAAGGUAACGGCUUACCAAGGCAACGAUGCAUAGCCGACCUGAGAGGGUGAUCGGCCACACUGGAACUGAGACACGGUCCAGACUCCUACGGGAGGCAGCAGUAGGGAAUCUUCCGCAAUGGGCGAAAGCCUGACGGAGCAACGCCGCGUGAGUGAUGAAGGUCUUCGGAUCGUAAAACUCUGUUAUUAGGGAAGAACAUAUGUGUAAGUAACUGUGCACAUCUUGACGGUACCUAAUCAGAAAGCCACGGCUAACUACGUG
Molecule: ribosomal RNA, 496 nt
Filed under: uncultured bacterium
Lineage: Bacteria
Description: partial 16S ribosomal RNA
Rfam family: Bacterial small subunit ribosomal RNA
Source: RNAcentral